Molecule: non-coding RNA, 30 nt
Filed under: Macaca fascicularis (crab-eating macaque)
Lineage: Eukaryota; Metazoa; Chordata; Mammalia; Primates; Cercopithecidae
Also listed under: 1 other name
Source: RNAcentral
UGGAAAGGAAGCUUUGUGCUAUCUCAGUUU